AAACCAGAAGAAUAAAGCCCUCAUAUAAUUUCGGGGAUAUGGCCCGUAAGUCUCUACCUGAUGACCGUUAUUUCAUCAGACUAUGAGGGAAAGCAUCUUUCUG
Non-coding RNA from Fictibacillus phosphorivorans, 103 nucleotides. Lineage: Bacteria; Bacillati; Bacillota; Bacilli; Caryophanales; Fictibacillaceae. The record is from Rfam.